AUUGAACGCUGGCGGCAGGCUUAACACAUGCAAGUCGAACGGUAGCACAGAGAGCUUGCUCUCGGGUGACGAGUGGCGGACGGGUGAGUAACGUCUGGGAAACUGCCCGAUGGAGGGGGAUAACUACUGGAAACGGUAGCUAAUACCGCAUAACGUCGCAAGACCAAAGUGGGGGACCUUCGGGCCUCACACCAUCGGAUGUGCCCAGAUGGGAUUAGCUAGUAGGUGGGGUAAUGGCUCACCUAGGCGACGAUCACUAGCUGGUCUGAGAGGAUGACCAGCCAGACGGGAACUGAGACACUGUCCAGACUCCUACGGGAGGCAGCAGUGGGGAAUAUUGCACAAUGUGCGCAAGCCUGAUGCAGCCAUGCCGCGUGUAUGAAGAAGGCCUUCGGGUUGUAAAGUACUUUCAGCGGGGAGGAAGGCGGUGAAGUUAAUAGCUUCACCGAUUGACGUUACCCGCAGAAGAAGCACCGGCUAACUCCGUGCCAGCAGCCGCGGUAA
RNAcentral lists this ribosomal RNA (504 nucleotides) under uncultured bacterium. Its description in RNAcentral is "partial 16S ribosomal RNA". It matches the Rfam family "Bacterial small subunit ribosomal RNA", at positions 30 to 523 of the family's 1533-position model. The record is from RNAcentral.